ACGUAGGGUCCGAGCGUUGUCCGGAAUUAUUGGGCGUAAAGAGAACGUAGGCGGUUCUUUAAGUCUGGUCUUAAAGACCGAGGCUCAACCUCGGGAAUGGACUGGAUACUGGAGAACUGGAGGAUGUCAGAGGAAGGUGGAAUUCCGAGUGUAGCGGUGAAAUGCGUAGAUAUUCGGAGGAACACCGGUGGCGAAAGCGGCCUUCUGGGACAUACCUGACGCUGAGGUUCGAAAGCUCGGGGAGCAAACAGGA
Molecule: ribosomal RNA, 253 nt
Filed under: uncultured prokaryote
Description: partial 16S ribosomal RNA
Rfam family: Bacterial small subunit ribosomal RNA
Source: RNAcentral